Humulus lupulus (European hop) is the source of this 107-nucleotide small nucleolar RNA. The record is from RefSeq and is a predicted model, not a curated record. NCBI's taxonomy places the organism in Eukaryota, Viridiplantae, Streptophyta, Magnoliopsida, Rosales, Cannabaceae.
AUACCAUGAUGGGGACACCUUUUCAAUAACUCCUUACACCUUUCACAUGCAUCAUAUAAAGAUUCACCUUCUGUCUGAAAGAAAUUAUUAAUCUCAGCUCGCAAACU